CCGAAUGCAACCGCGAGGAACGCCGUAGGAAUAAUGGACGGCGGGUGGGUCGCGCUUUCCUCCGCAGUCCUCUUCCUCCCUUCGGCUUCUCCCGCCUCGUCCUCCAAGUUCCGCACCCUCUCGCCACAAGCAAGCAAGCGUGAUCGAAGCGAUGCCACUGCUACCACCACCGCCCUUUGGCUCGUCGCCCAGAACUCAGUGGGCGUCCUAAGAAAUGUUGUUUCAUCUGAUGAUGAACUACUUGGUGAAGGCUGCAGCAUCUCCAACUUGUAUUUGACAACACUCGAUCCAACUGCCAGGAUGCACUGAUAGAUGUGAAGGUCAUCUUUCACCCUUAGUUAAGUUCCCACUCAGAUCUUGCACCAAGAUAGAUCCGGAAAACCCUACCAGUGCAAAACUUACACUCACAGGAAAGUUGCAGUGAUAGGGUGGCAGUGAAAGCAGCUAAGCUAACAUGAGGAAAGAUAUGUUUGCUUACAUUUUACUUAAAAGAGUUGCUGGCUGAACUGAAAAUUCCAUAUUAUCUCAAACCUUCAAGAAGAAUGCUUGAAUAAAACACAAGAGAUCUUUAAACCUAUGCACUAA
This is a non-coding RNA of Musa acuminata subsp. malaccensis (wild Malaysian banana), 585 nucleotides long. NCBI's taxonomy places the organism in Eukaryota, Viridiplantae, Streptophyta, Magnoliopsida, Zingiberales, Musaceae. The record is from RefSeq and is a predicted model, not a curated record.